Non-coding RNA from Vicia faba (fava bean), 291 nucleotides. The record is from the annotation of a GenBank genome assembly. NCBI's taxonomy places the organism in Eukaryota, Viridiplantae, Streptophyta, Magnoliopsida, Fabales, Fabaceae.
AUGGUCUCAGGACAAUCGCAAAUUCGUCUCUUCCAAACUCCUGGUAGGUCACACCAGCUUCGUCGGUCCAUUGACAUGGAUUCCUCCAAAUUCCGAUUUGCCACAAGGCAGUGUGGCUUAUGGCGGCAUGGAUACUCUUGUCUUGGUUUGGGACUUGAACACGUGGGGAAAUUUCACACACUCAAAGGUCAUCAGUAUCAGGUCACCGACAUUGCGUUUGAUGAUUGGAAGGGUUUUCAAUUCCAGUUUGUUUAUAUUGAAUUUGAAUGGUUAGUUCCAUUUAUUUCAUAG